AAUACUUGAUUUAUUUUUAAAAUACGUUUUGACGUAUUUAAGAUUUAAAUAGUAGUACUUGUUGUAAGACAAUUCAAUUAAAGUGUUUUACAACUUUUUGUAAUUCUAACUGGUCACAAGAACACAAGUUUUAUCUUGCCACAAACAAAGUGCUAUGCUAUGUAUUUUGAUAAUUACACUAAUUUAAACUAAAUCUGAUCAGUGAUAAUCCGCAUCAUACUCAAAAUUAAGGUUCUGUUAAAAUCAACCAAGAUUUUGUUGCAUCAUCCUGUCACUGCAACAUUAAUCCUUUCCCUGAGUUCUAAUGUGUUUGGUAGUGGGGGAACGUAAACAAAAUCCUUUAUGUGCCCCCAAAGAAAAAAAUAACAAGGCGUUAAGUCAGGUGGUCGAGACGGCCAAAUAAAUAAAGGUAUUUGCAUACUCCAAUGAAGGAAUGCCAAGCUGGGAUAUAAAACCGCAACAUAUCCAAGUUUCUACACAUAGAAAAGUAGUAGUUCUGGACUCUAAAAGUAUACAAUUGAUUUUAAAUUUGAAGAAUAGCAGUGGAAACGCAAGUUGUGGACUGCUACCAUAGUGGACAAGUGAUUUAAAAAGAAAAUUGGCAAAAACAUUGGGGAAGUACCAGGUACGAGGGCUGGAAGAUCGACAACUGACGUAGAGAGACUGGAUACUGGAGAGGAAAAUCUUGAGCAAAAUAAUGGGAUCAAUCAGGGAACCACAACUAUAUGAAGAGAUUAUAAAGCUUAACAUGUCCAGAGGAUGCCGGAUGAUAGUGUACCACAGAAGUCACUACAACAAGAACAGCUUUAAGAUAGGAGACAGAUUUAGGUACCCAGAUAACGAAGGAAGGAUGAGGUGCGGAACAUGUUAGGAGUUGCAAACUAAAAAUGAGCAUCAAAAGACAGAUGGAUGGAAGAAGAAGAUUGAGGAGACCAAGUCUCGAAUUGGGUUGGGUUGAUAACACAGAAGUUCCGAACAUGUUUAUACUAAACGCCUUUUUACUUUUGAAGCCUAUAUUCUUCGCAGAAGCAACUCAAGAAGACAGUUGACGUUGCCUAUUUAGACUUUAUUCGACAUACAAGAAACUUAGAAGAUCAUGUUGUAGCACCGACAGUAUUGCUCUAAGAGUUUUUGCAACAGAGGACUCAAUUAGCUUAAUUCAAUCGACGAAACAUUUUAUAGACUUGACAAAAAAUGUAUUCAUUUUUCAAGAUUAAGACAAUCCCGUGACAAAGUGCUCAACGCAAUAUUAAUAAACUGCGUUUUGUGCUUAUAUCUAUAUAUCUUUGUAGUUCAUCAAGAAGAUGUAUUUUGUCUACUAACAAUUAUCUUUUUUUUUUUAGAUCGCGUUGUGAUGUUGAAGUAUUGCAAAAAUAAUUUACAAAUAUGAAAAUAAUAUAUACACAAUUAGUUGGAUUUUGAAGUUACUCAACCAUACAGCAACUACAGAUGUUGAGGUCAUGUUAAAUCGGCAAAUUUUUAGUGGCGCUCAAGGUCUAAAAAAUUAUAGUUCAGUAACGAUUUAAGCAGCUUGUAUACUUUGUAGUUACAACCGCUGUAAAGUGGUAAACGCGACU
RNAcentral lists this long non-coding RNA (1577 nucleotides) under Onthophagus taurus. RNAcentral's name for it is "uncharacterized LOC111427646". The record is from RNAcentral. Lineage: Eukaryota; Metazoa; Arthropoda; Insecta; Coleoptera; Scarabaeidae.